AUGUUGAUCCAUGUCAAACUCCAAGGAAAUAGCGCGAGCGUGCCUGUUAUGUACAUUUGUACAUGCAUGGUGCCGAAGCCGUCGCUGGCCGCCGAGCUCUCACGUGUCGCUGAAGCCGCCGGUGCGCUCCUCCAGCUCCUCAUAUGUGAAUUGGUGUGUCUGCAGCCUGUGGACUCUGCCGGACUCCAGGUCGCUGCCACUCUGGAGCUGGGUGUCCCGCCUGAGUUACUGUACUUGAGGAGCCUGGACGAGGAAGUCACUUGUACUGCCUCCUCUUGCGUAUGUACUGGAAUGGCACAACGACGAGAAGCACAAACAGAACCAAAGCAACUACAGAGCUUUCAGAAGUGGCAAACGGCGAUGAAAUAG
This 369-nucleotide ribosomal RNA is filed under the name Triticum aestivum (bread wheat). RNAcentral describes it as "partial small subunit ribosomal RNA". Lineage: Eukaryota; Viridiplantae; Streptophyta; Magnoliopsida; Poales; Poaceae. The record is from RNAcentral.